CAGCAGCCGCGGUAAUACGUAGGGUGCGAGCGUUAAUCGGAAUUACUGGGCGUAAAGCGGGCGCAGACGGUUACUUAAGCAGGAUGUGAAAUCCCCGGGCUCAACCUGGGAACUGCGUUCCGAACUGGGUAACUAGAGUGUGUCAGAGGGAGGUAGAAUUCCACGUGUAGCAGUGAAAUGCGUAGAGAUGUGGAGGAAUACCGAUGGCGAAGGCAGCCUCCUGGGAUAACACUGACGCUCAUGCCCGAAAGCGUGGGUAGCAAACAGGAUUAGAUACCCCCGUAGUCCCUGUCUCUUAUAU
This 301-nucleotide ribosomal RNA is filed under the name uncultured bacterium. Its description in RNAcentral is "partial 16S ribosomal RNA". It matches the Rfam family "Bacterial small subunit ribosomal RNA", at positions 509 to 809 of the family's 1533-position model. The record is from RNAcentral.